RNAcentral lists this ribosomal RNA (674 nucleotides) under uncultured bacterium. Its description in RNAcentral is "bacterial SSU rRNA". It matches the Rfam family "Bacterial small subunit ribosomal RNA", at positions 138 to 807 of the family's 1533-position model. The record is from RNAcentral.
GGGGGAUAAGCGGAAGAAAUUCCGUCUAAUACCGCGUAACAACCCAUGGAGGCAUCUCUGUGGGUUUAAAGGAAGCGAUUCCGGCUACGGAUGGUCAUGCGUCGCAUUAGCUUGUUGGCGGGGUAACGGCCCACCAAGGCGACGAUGCGUAGGGGUUCUGAGAGGAAGGUCCCCCACACUGGUACUGAGACACGGACCAGACUCCUACGGGAGGCAGCAGUGAGGAAUAUUGGUCAAUGGCCGCAGGGCUGAACCAGCCAAGUCGCGUGAGGGAUGACGGUCCUAUGGAUUGUAAACCUCUUUUGUCAGGGAGCAAAGGGCGCCACGUGUGGCGCUUUGCGAGUACCUGAAGAAAAAGCAUCGGCUAACUCCGUGCCAGCAGCCGCGGUAAUACGGAGGAUGCGAGCGUUAUCCGGAUUUAUUGGGUUUAAAGGGUGCGCAGGCGGAAUGUCAAGUCAGCGGUAAAAUUUCGGGGCUCAACCCCGUCGUGCCGUUGAAACUGGCGUUCUUGAGUGAGCGAGAAGUAUGCGGAAUGCGUGGUGUAGCGGUGAAAUGCAUAGAUAUCACGCAGAACUCCGAUUGCGAAGGCAGCAUACCGGCGCUCAACUGACGCUCAUGCACGAAAGCGUGGGUAUCGAACAGGAUUAGAUACCCUGGUAGUCCACGCAGUAAAC